GAAAUUUGCGAUUUGUUUGUUGUUGGAUUUGUAGUAUAUAUUGGAAAAUAAUCCCCAUUGAUGUCUGUCAGUAUCUGAUUUUAUGGCUUCUGUAAAGUCUGGUAAGCUCUCCUUUAUCUGUGAUUUUUUUUUUCUUUUUCGAUUUUAACAUGCAAGUGAAAUCUGUCAAUUUUAUUGUUAAAUUUGUAGUAGAUUUUGAAAGAUAAUCUUCAUUUGUGUCAGCAAGUAUCUGAUUUUAUGAUCUCUAUAAUGUCUGGUAAGCCCUCCUCUUCUGUGAUUUUCUUUUCUUUUUUCGUUUGAACAUGCAAGUGAAUUAGAGAUUUGAUGCAGCUGAGCUGAAAAAAAUAUAGAAUGGAACGAAAAGCUUGAGUAACAGAAGAUUUGGAGUUGUAUAUUCAUGUUAAUGAUAUCUUCAUGUUCCUUUUGUACUUGUUUUGAUUAUUCCAUGGCAUAUAUUAAGUCAUAGCUAAUAAGAAUGGUGGAUUGUUCAAUUUUUUUUAUAUUUUUUCCUUUUGAUUUUUGGAUGACUUUUUUUUUUGAAUGUUCUCAUGCUAAGCAAACAAUAUUUGUCCGGUCAAUAUACAUUAUUCGAUGAGUAACAACAUGUACUAAAUGACUUCGACACAUUAGUGCUCAAUACCAGUUCUUAUAGGAGACGUGCUUGACGCUAUCGCUUGCAAUUUUCAUGAAUUCUCCAUAAACGUUUCAGCCGGUUCAAGGCAUCUCCUUAGUGCAUUAUGUCCAAGUUGGGCUCUUUCGUUGUCUCCAAAUCCAAAGACUCAUCCACAAUUUAUUACAACAACAAUGUGGUAUAAGCCAGUGCUAAUUUGAGAUAUGUGGUGGGAUCUCAAGCUCUCCAGGAUCUCGGUCUUCAGAACUUUAUGUGAUGCUCCUCUGUAACGGAACUUGAGGCUACCAAAGCCCAUCCAACCAAAGUCAUAAACAGAACCAUUGUCCACCAGGACAAUCCUGAGAUAUCCCUGACGUACCGAUAGCUCAGGAAUGGCGUUGUACACCAUUCCACAUUUAACCAAACAAAAGGUGGAAUAGCUACACAAGAUUUUUAAACUUCAUGGUUCUGAGUAAUACUGGACGAAAUCAAAAUUGCCACAUGUGACGAUCUUUAAACCUCAACAGCCAUACAAGCAAUGCCUUGCCAACACAUUCAAGGACUUCCCUCCAUCAUUUUUAGUACUUUUGGAUUCUCUCCUGGCUUUUGAACCUGAGUAUCGAAGUUUUGCUACUUUGGCACUUCAAAAUGAGUUCUUCACAACAAAGCCUCUUCCGUGUGAUCCAUCAUUUUUACCCAAGUAUCCUACAAGCAAGGAAUUUGAUGCUAAGAUGAGAGAUGAGGAAGCAAAAAGGCACUCAUUUUCUCAUUUCUCCUUUUCUUUAUAAAAAUAGAUUGAUUGACAUACAAUUCCUUUUAAAAACUUUUUCUUUAUUUAAUCUGAUGUUGUCCUUAAGAAUAUUUUGUUGAUUCUUCUCUACCAUUUAUGUAAAUCUAGUAUGCUGGAAUUUUCCCAUUCAAUUGAUAGAGUUAUUACUCCAUCUAAAAAACAGUAGGUUGUGUUGCAUAUUUUAGCGUAUUGAGGAUUUGGCAUCUCUCAGAUAUUAUGAGAAAAGUUCUAGUAACUUUAUUGUUGCCCAAGAAAAGGCUUUCAGCUUGCGUUUUAUAGUCAUGGUCCCCCAGAAGUUCCUUUUUGGUUUAUUGAUUUCUCAGGGAAGGUAAUGACUGUGAUGUCAAUUGGUUGUUUCUUUAGGUUUUCUUUGUUUGCAUGUAUGUCUAUGAAAUUUGAUUUUUGGUGUGGGUAGAGUUGACCAUUCUGAAAAGUAAAUUACAUUAACUACUCUUUUUUUAUUUUUUUCUGAAAUUGUUUAGAUUCUGUUGAUUGUUUGUGUCUUAGUUUUUCACUUGAAAGGCUUGCUUUUGUUCGCAAAAUAAACAGGGCUGUGUCAAUUUGCUUUUAUUGUAAAUCUUGCUUAUCGGGUACUUGUUAAUCACCUGAGUAUUGAGCUAUAGGGUUGUGUCAAACAUUUGCUUAUAAUAUGUUGAACUCAUAAGCGGUUAUGAAAACUUCAUUAUUAGGUUAAAACCAUAUUAAGACUAAUCUUAAAUAAGUAGCAUUCUCUUGUAUCAGAAUAGCUGGACAUUAGCAUAGAUUUGUAAAAUGUGUCAAUGGUUCAUUCUUCUGUUCCCAUCUCAAAUGGUGGAAAACUAUUAUCUGAAGUAUAUAUAUAAAUAUAGUCAAUUCCUUUUUA
This is a long non-coding RNA of Capsicum annuum, 2262 nucleotides long. RefSeq lists it as uncharacterized. The record is from RefSeq and is a predicted model, not a curated record. The transcript is spliced from 3 exons. NCBI's taxonomy places the organism in Eukaryota, Viridiplantae, Streptophyta, Magnoliopsida, Solanales, Solanaceae.